This 486-nucleotide ribosomal RNA is filed under the name uncultured bacterium. Its description in RNAcentral is "partial 16S ribosomal RNA". It matches the Rfam family "Bacterial small subunit ribosomal RNA", at positions 28 to 507 of the family's 1533-position model. The record is from RNAcentral.
GAUGAACGCUAGCGGCAGGCUUAACACAUGCAAGUCGAGGGGCAGCGCGGGAUAGCAAUAUCCUGGCGGCGACCGGCGGAAGGGUGCGUAACGCGUGAGCGACAUGCCCGUUGCCCGGGGACAACCGGUGGAAACGCCGACUAAUCCCCGAUGGGAUACGAUGCUUCAUGGCAUUGUAUUGAAAGUUACGGCGGCGACGGGUUGGCUCGCGUCCGAUUAGCUGGUUGGCGGGGUAACGGCCCACCAAGGCUGCGAGCGGUAGGGGUUCUGAGAGGAAGGCCCCCCACAAUGGGACUGAGACACGGCCCAUACUCCUACGGGAGGCAGCAGUGAGGAAUAUUGGUCAAUGGGAGGAAGCCUGAACCAGCCAUGCCGCGUGCGGGAAGGAGGCCCUAUGGGCUGUGAACCGCUUUUGCCUGGGGGCAAUAAGGGCGUCGCGCACGUCCGAUGAGAGUACCAGGCGAAUAAGCAUCGGCUAACUCCGUG